RNAcentral lists this small RNA (75 nucleotides) under Xanthomonas sp. NCPPB 1560. RNAcentral's name for it is "sX9 sRNA". It matches the Rfam family "Xanthomonas sRNA sX9". Lineage: Bacteria; Pseudomonadati; Pseudomonadota; Gammaproteobacteria; Lysobacterales; Lysobacteraceae. RNAcentral also lists the same sequence under 7 other names. The record is from RNAcentral.
AUGUACCACUCGUACACUCCAGUUGUGAGUGCGCCAUCCGCACCUACCUGACGACUGCUCACUACAGUUUGAGCC